Molecule: ribosomal RNA, 497 nt
Filed under: uncultured bacterium
Lineage: Bacteria
Description: partial 16S ribosomal RNA
Rfam family: Bacterial small subunit ribosomal RNA
Source: RNAcentral
AUGAACGCUGGCGGCGUGCCUAAUACAUGCAAGUCGAGCGAACGGACGAGAAGCUUGCUUCUCUGAUGUUAGCGGCGGACGGGUGAGUAACACGUGGAUAACCUACCUAUAAGACUGGGAUAACUUCGGGAAACCGGAGCUAAUACCGGAUAAUAUUUUGAACCGCAUGGUUCAAAAGUGAAAGACGGUCUUGCUGUCACUUAUAGAUGGAUCCGCGCUGCAUUAGCUAGUUGGUAAGGUAACGGCUUACCAAGGCAACGAUGCAUAGCCGACCUGAGAGGGGGAUCGGCCACACUGGAACUGAGACACGGUCCAGACUCCUACGGGAGGCAGCAGUAGGGAAUCUUCCGCAAUGGGCGAAAGCCUGACGGAGCAACGCCGCGUGAGUGAUGAAGGUCUUCGGAUCGUAAAACUCUGUUAUUAGGGAAGAACAUAUGUGUAAGUAACUGUGCACAUCUUGACGGUACCUAAUCAGAAAGCCACGGCUAACUACGUGC